This 28-nucleotide non-coding RNA is filed under the name Mus musculus (house mouse). The record is from RNAcentral. Lineage: Eukaryota; Metazoa; Chordata; Mammalia; Rodentia; Muridae.
UGAGGUCUGUAGCUGCCCUGGUGCUUUU